Molecule: long non-coding RNA, 1010 nt
Organism: Oncorhynchus keta (chum salmon)
Lineage: Eukaryota; Metazoa; Chordata; Actinopteri; Salmoniformes; Salmonidae
Exons: 2
Source: RefSeq, a predicted model, not a curated record
UAAAAAGCCAGAGUGAAGGUCAGCCUCUGCCACAAAGCCAGGGGGAAACCACAGAAGACCAACUGGGAGAGAGAUGGGGAAGUUUGUACUGUUUACCUGUCUGGCCUUUCUGCCAUUGGUUCUCAUUGAGGCUACCAACAUAACUACCAGCGCAACUGUUACCCCUUCAAACACUAUGACAGUACCAGAAACCAUCUCAUCAAACCCAGUCAGCAACCAACCCUCAGAGAACACCACGUUUCCAAUGACAACCUCCAAUAACAACAUCAGCAGUAACGUUACCAUGGGACCUCCUACCAUAUCUGUCUCCAACCAUACAACAACGGCCGCCACAACCCUUGGUACGCAGUCCACACACUCAACUCUAGUAACCGCCACGACUACCACAACCAAUGUGUCCCUGCAGACCACUGAUCAUACCACAGCAAACCAGAACAACAUAACUGCUGCCAACCAUAUGUCGCCCACACCUCAUGGAGGCACCGCAGCCCUGUCGGGCUCUUACAGUCUCCUCCUGGGGCCCCUGAUGGCCGUAAUAAUCCAAAUGGUAUAGGAAUAAGAACAGAGCCCUGUGGAACACUUCACUGGAAGAGUACUCUACUUCACAGUCAUUCACUAACAACUGAAAAAAAACAUAUCUGUGUACAGUUUCACAGGUGCAGGCUUAGUAAUAGUAAGUGAUAAUAAUGAAAGUGCUAUAUAAAGGUGUAAAUUGUAGUAGGUGAGCUGUGUAUACUAUUCAUUAGGCAUGGACAUUGUAUGAAGGAGCUAUGAAGAUGCUUUGGGACUGAAACUCUCAACAGACUGAUCAAAAUGACAAGCACUGAGCCCUUCCCCUAUUUUCACCACUACCAAUGACUGGUCCCUUCAACCUUAUAAAAAUAUCAUGAACAUGCAUAUCACCAUGUGCACCAUGGCUGAAAACAUCAUCACUAGCACACGCUAACAAAAUAUAUAUAGAAAUGUUUGGUUGUACUGUAGUUGUAAAUAAAAGACACACUUGUUAAGUA